UCCGAAUUGGUGUAGUGGCUAACAUUUGACGCUCUCAUGCCUUGUAUCUAUGCUCCUCUCCUUCGAGGAAAUGGAAAAAAGGAGUGCCGUCAAGCCCGGGGUUCGAUUCCCCGAUUCGGAG
Non-coding RNA from Nemania sp. FL0916, 121 nucleotides. Lineage: Eukaryota; Fungi; Ascomycota; Sordariomycetes; Xylariales; Xylariaceae. The record is from the annotation of a GenBank genome assembly.